Molecule: ribosomal RNA, 497 nt
Filed under: uncultured bacterium
Lineage: Bacteria
Description: partial 16S ribosomal RNA
Rfam family: Bacterial small subunit ribosomal RNA
Source: RNAcentral
GAUGAACGCUGGCGGCGUGCCUAAUACAUGCAAGUCGAGCGAACAGACGAGGAGCUUGCUCCUCUGACGUUAGCGGCGGACGGGUGAGUAACACGUGGAUAACCUACCUAUAAGACUGGGAUAACUUCGGGAAACCGGAGCUAAUACCGGAUAAUAUAUUGAACCGCAUGGUUCAAUAGUGAAAGACGGUUUUGCUGUCACUUAUAGAUGGAUCCGCGCCUCAUUAUCUAGUUGGUAAGGUAACGGCUUACCAAGGCAACGAUGCGUAGCCGACCUGAGAGGGUGAUCGGCCACACUGGAACUGAGACACGGUCCAGACUCCUACGGGAGGCAGCAGUAGGGAAUCUUCCGCAAUGGGCGAAAGCCUGACGGAGCAACGCCGCGUGAGUGAUGAAGGUCUUCGGAUCGUAAAACUCUGUUAUUAGGGAAGAACAAAUGUGUAAGUAACUAUGCACGUCUUGACGGUACCUAAUCAGAAAGCCACGGCUAACUACGUG